UCUCCCGGUGGGGGCGUUUCUCUCUUUAGAACUAAAAUCUCCAGGCCGUGCUAGGGGCGCCGGGGUGGUGAGGAGAUCUGCCCACUCCCAGCCCCCCGUUCCCAGCUCUGUGCCUCCCGGCUGUGGGAGACACGGCACCUCAUUCCCUUCGCCACAGUCUGGGGGACGUUCCCUCAGCCGCGCCGAUUGUGGGCACCCUCAGGAGUCUCUAGGAGACCCUUCCUCGGUUCCACCAGGCCAGCUGCUUCAGGGGAGGGAAGUGAGAAGGCCGGGGGACCCCGUGAGCACGAGCCCGGUGCUGCCUCGCUGCCCACGGAGCGAGCGUCCCCGGCCACGCUGAAUGUCACCGACGGCAGACCGAGAGCUCCGCGAGGCCAUAGGCCAGGGGAAGGGCCACCGCUGAGCGGGAGAGAGGAGCCACUGCCCCUGCGCGGUGCGGACGCAUCAUCCAGACUUAUCGGUCCAGUCAGCACAACAUCGCCAAUGAAGUGGCCCAGCGUGACAUCCUGUGGGCUGGCCGGGAGCUCCCGAUGCCGAGGGAGCACUGGCGACCUGCAGGCCCCAGGACGGCUGGACAUGCCCUCCCGAUGGCAGGCAAACUCCAGUGCCAGGCGUCCUGAUGGUGACCACGAGGGGUAUGACCUCCUGGUGCCCCAGCAUCCCCGCUGCCCACCUCCCAGGCCCUCCCCAUCCCUCUCCCAAUUUAUUUGGAACCAAAUAAGAGAUUAAGAUAAAAAUAGUUUCCAGGAGGCAGAUCAUUUGGUAAUUACGUGCAGGUGUUAAAUAGCUCCUGGCUCCCUGGCCGACCCCCGCCCCACUGCCGGGUAUGGGUGGGGGCGGUAAUUACAAAGCCGGCUGCCCCUUAAUCCUCGUAAUGGGCCAGGCCUGCCUGUCGCCCGCCCGCCUGGCAGCCCACGCUCAGAACCCAGCUUCCCGGGAGAGAGGGGGCCACCCAGCCACCGCCACCGGGGCCGCCCAGGCGCUGCUUGCAGAGCCUCCCAGCUGCCUGUGAGGGAUGCCCUGUGAGCCAUAGCCACCUCCCAGAGGGGGAAACUGAGGCAGUGAGCAUGGGGGGACAUGUCCAAGGUCAUGGGCAAGUUUGGGGGCACCCCCGUCUGGUCCUUCUUCACCCAGCAUGACAGAAGGGCAGCGACAGGCAGGGAGUCACUGGAGACAGCUGGAGAACUCACGGGUGACCCAUCACUGUCUGUGUCCCUACAGCGCUGCUCUCCAUCCGUGUCCCUGAGGACAAAGCCUGGGCCUGGGGGAGGGGCAGGGUCACAGGAGGGCAAACUCGCCUGAGGAAAAUGUUUCUCGGGGCACGAGCUGCUCUGGAGCACCGAGCACCGAGCACCGAGUACCUCGUGCCGGCAGGCGCCACAGCUGGCUGGUCCCUCCAGGGGCCACAGGUGAAUUGGUGGCUGGUGGACUUUUCAGCGCCCCUUCUGCAGGGAUACCUGGGUCCUCUGUCCCUGUCAUGGCCAUGGCUGGCUGGCUGCAUUCUCAGAAGACCUGGCACAGUGGCCGCCACACCCACCAUCCUCAUAGAGGGUAGAGCAGGCCAAGAGCACGGAGGGCAGCCAGGCCAUGACAGGCCAUCCUGCCAGCUUCCACCGCAGCCCUGGGCCCCAGCUCUCCUGCCCACUGGGAAGCCCCUCCCUGCAGGCCCCCCUUCAGCCCACCUACCCAGGGAAAUGUCACCUCCUCUGGGAGUCAAUCCUUUGAUCAACCUGGCAGAGGCCACUCUCGCCCCUGGAAUCUAACAGCCCCUGUCAGAGCCCUCCCACCAACUACGUCACGUCACUGGAAUUAACUGAGACCCUCCUCAAGGACAUGGACCAUGUCAUGUCCACCUGUACAUCCCCAGGCCUCUCUGAUCCCUGCUCCCACCCCAGCGGCACGGAGACUUCCUGCCAGAGCUGAGCCUGGCUCUUCUACUCCCACUGCCUCCCAUGGGGCCACGUUGGAGAUGGUGGCCUCUCUCUAGGGGACGGUUCAUUCCAGCCUGUUGUGCAGCUCAGGGGCAAGUCAGCAAGGAUGGCUGUCCCCCAGCCCCGCCCACCCACUGGGGCCCACAGGACAGCCUCGUGGAGGACCUGCACCUGAACCUCUGGGCAGAGGGCAAGAUCCGCAUAGGACAGGUGAGAAAACUGAGGCUCCUGCCCCCCGGUAGCAGAGACAGUGUUUGGACCCGAAGCCAAUCUUACCUCCUGGUAGUGCUCUGGCCACCCUGCUGCGGACCCAAUGCCCCACACCUCACUUCAAGGCCAAAUGCUCAAGAGCAAAGCCUCAAAUAAUGCUGGACACAGAGCAGGCACUUCACCCAUUCAACAGCUACCCCUCUUUGUGCGGAGUACAACAGGGCACACGACAGGCACGGACCCCUGCCCUGGGGGGCUGGUGCUGUCCUGGGGUGGGUGACGAGCAGAUAGAUAUACUUGUAACUUGUCAUGUGGAGGACGGGCACGUGCUGGGAAGAGAGACAGAGCAGGUGACGGCAGCCCCGUGUGUGAGCCACUCGGUAAUUCUAGACUUUUUCAUAGGCGCGUGGACAAACACAAGAAGAAAUAGAUGAAAUUAAUGUUAACAAUAUGGGUAAUUUAAUACACUAGUUCCAAAUGUUACCAUGUCAACAUGUGGUCAAUGUAAAUAAUUCUUGUUAUUUUACUUGUUUUUCAUUCUGUGCCUUUGAAAUCAGUGUGUAUUUUAUACUUACGGCGCAUCUGGACUCUGCCUAGCUGCAGUUCAAGUAUCCAGGAGCCACGCGUAGCUGGUGGCUGCUGCAUUGGCCGGUAGAGGUCCAGGGCGACGGGGGAGAGGGUAGGUGUGUCUCUCACACAAGGGAGGUCGGAGAAGGCCUCUUGGAGGAGGUGAUUUCUGAGCACAGGUCUGGAAGCAAGGAACAGAGCCAGCAGCUCUAUGGGGAAGGAUUGUCCUGGGCAGAAGGAAGAGCAAGUGCAAAGGCCCUGGGACAGGCAUGAGCCGGCAGCUGGAGCAGAUGAGCAGGGAGAAUAGCAGGAGACAGCCCAGAGAGGCCCUGGCUCGGUCGGCGCUGUGCCCCGCUGUGAGGACUUUGGCUCUUGCUCUGAGAAGAGCCCUGGGCAGGCGGCUUGGCCGGGCCGGCCUGGGUUCUGAGGAGAGCACACGGCGUCACUGCGCACGCCUAGCCCGACUGCCGUUCGCCAGCACUGUGACUUCAGGGACUGCACCAGCACCUAUGCGUCGUGAGGGCUGCACAGUGCCUGGCACGGUGCCGGCCCGCGGGGUGAGCACCCGUAAAAGCAAAAGCUACCCAGUGCGCCGUGAGUCCAAGUCUUUAGGUGAGGCUCACACGUUCCCAGGUGCCAGGGGUUUCUGCUUCUUGGGGAAGGCAAGCGGGCGGCCCUCAGCCUCCCUCUCCCUGCACCCUGUGACACUGGCCUGUCUCCACAUUCCGAGAAUUGCUGCAGGUGAUAAAUGGCUUUAUGGCAAGGCUGCCACCAGCAUGCCUACAGGGCGGCCUCCACUUCCUCAGCCCUGGCUGGGCGGGGAGCUGGGCAGGGCCUCCUGACCCCACCAGGAAGCCCUGCAGCCUGUCCUGGCCCCAGCGCGCCCCACCCUCACCCCACCGCCUCAGCCUAGCCUCUGAUUCCCAGGCCCAGGGCGCAGGCAAGGCCUCCUCCCCCUGCACCGUGCACUCAUGCCUUCUCUCAGCACACGCUGCUGGAGCCGUGGAGAUCCAGGAAGGGACAGGGCCGACAGAGGUGCCUGCCCCCAGGGAGCAGGCCGUCCAGGUUGUGGGGUCACUUAGUGACCCCCCGGUCCUCAUUUCAUGGGCUUCUCUGACCAGAUGCCAGUGAAGACCCUCUUCCUGACCACCACUGAGACCCGGAAUGGCAGCUUGUCAGGGGCUUCCGUUAGAGGGCACGGCUGCCGGUGAAUCCUGCGAGAGGAAUGUGGGGCGGGCGCAAGGAGGACUUACUGGUCACCUGGGGAAUAAGCCUUGAAAUAGGAAAGGAAAAGACAGACUUCCCAUUGCCUGCAGAAAUUUCAAUAAAUACUUGGAAAAUGAUGCAUUAUUAGGAGAAGAAAAAAGAAAAACAAAAGAAAAUCCCUGCUGGCCAGAUGCCAUCCAUUCACAGCAGCUGUCUCUCGGGGAAGGUGCAGGGUUAGAGGACUUUGUUUGCCUUUUGUUUUCCUAUUUUCCAGAUUUUCUGCCAUGCAUAUAUAUUUACUGUAUAGUAAAGAGUUUAACAAGAAAAAACAAACAUGUAACAAAACAAUCCCAGUUUGGAAACCCAGCACCUCUUAGAACCUCCUGGAGCACUUGUGUCUGGCUGGCAGGACCAGGAACGCGCCCGGCUGAAAGGAGAUGGGGUUACCGUUCUGCCGAACCCCAACCUGGGAGCAGAGGUGGCCUCGGAGCUGGGAGACUGUGACUGGCCGCAGGAGCUGAGCCCGGGAAAAGGGAGCACAGACCGUGGGCGAGACAGCAGUGUCACGGAGCCAAGGGGGCCAAGAGGAGCCGCCAGGGAUGGAGGUGCUCACAUUGAGAGUGGCCGUCAAGUACCAGCCCGUUGUCGGUUGAGAGCAUUAGAUGAGUCAAACACGAAGUGCUGAAAACGGGGCCCGGCAUCCGGUAAGUGCCUGCUGAACGCUGCUCGCUGUCGGUCCCGCCCCACCACAGCAGCACGUUUUAAUCUCCCAAAGGGGUGGGGAACCCGCAGCCUUCUGAUCUCAAGACUGUUCUUCUUUAGCCACCAAAGGAGGGGAGAAAAGCUUCAUCUUUCUCUG
Molecule: RNA transcript, 4773 nt
Organism: Lemur catta (Ring-tailed lemur)
Lineage: Eukaryota; Metazoa; Chordata; Mammalia; Primates; Lemuridae
Exons: 4
Source: RefSeq, a predicted model, not a curated record